AAGUUCCUUUCACUACAGACGAACAAACGGGGGUGGGGGUGGGGAUAGCAAGCCGUUUCCUUUUUUCGUGAAAAGAGCAGCAGAGUUUUGUCAUGCAACUUGGUUUGGUGCCUGUUAGUGUCAAUGUAAGAACAGCCGAGUCCGCGAAGGUGGCUGUUACCAUUCCACAGACCUGCGGCAAGGACUGUCAAUCCGAUUCAGCAAAUAACCCCACCACUCCAAGCCAGGACUCCAGAGCUGCCCUGUGUGGUAUCUCAGCAAGGAAAGCCAACAAAGCUGGUGGACACAGGCAGAUCGUAGCCCACCGCCUGUGAGUGGAGACUCCGAGCCGACUUGACCUCCUCCCCGGAGGGACCGGCCCGAUCUGAAAGGGCGGUCUCCAAGGGUCCCCAUCCCGCACCACGCACACAGCCUGGGGCAACUAAAGAGGAAGUCGGGAUGUCACAUCCAACGGAUAAAGACAGCCCCGCCACACAAGAGCCGCAUUCUGGGCAGGACUCCUGCUAGGCUUGGGAAGGGGUCCCAGUCUGCGAUCCUUUCUCCCUCUACGUGCAGCGUCCUCCUCCCGGGGUCGCGGGCUGGUGGCGCCCACUCAACGCGGCGCGGUGGGAGUCCCGGGAGCACCCCGAGCCUCCGGCCCCCUCCCCGGCCCCGCCGGGCCCGCGGCCGCCGCACUCCCGCACCUCGCGCCCCGGCUGCCCAGCGCCCGCGGGCCCUGCCCCGGACUCCGGCACGCAGUUCCGACGGCCCAGGGCGGGGACGGCGCCGCGGAGGGGAGCCGCCGCCGCGGGCUCUCGGAGGCACCGGCGGCCGCGCACACUCCUCCCCUUCGCCGUGAGUAAACAGCUCGCGGGCGCGCUCCAGCCGCGCCCCCAUCCCCCCGCCGGGCUCCGCGCCGCCCUGCGCCCGCGCGUCCCGCCCGCCGGCGCCGCCGCCCCCUACCUGGUCGGCUGAGCGAGUACUGGGAAAAAAGGAAAUACCCAGACAUUUGAGGGAUCACUGACACUGCUUCUGAAUUAAUGCUAAUUCCUGAGGAUUGCAAAUACCACUGGAUCCACCAAUCAAAAUGGGGAUCUCUGAAGCAGCUGACCUGGAAGGAUGAUGGAGUUCUACUGAAGACUUGAGUUCCGGCACCAGUUGGGAAAUAGCACACUAAAAUGGUGAAGUUACCUCUUGGAGGAUACAGAAAAUGCUUUGAGUCAGGAGUCAGUACAUAGUACUGCUUCCCCCAAAAUACAAGAAAAAUCGGAUAUCAUCAAGUGACUCUUCAGCCAACAACUGUUCGAGAAUGCUGUUAACAUCAUGUGUAGGAAUGCUACAUUUUCUAGAAUUUGACAUUUUCAGUGAUUGAGAAUUACUAUAUUUUGUAAAUGGAAAUGCCACUACUAGAAACAGAAUGCUAUAAAUAGAAUGACGUCUUUUGUUUGCAAGGUUGAUAUGUUAGAGCAAUGCAAAAGUAAUAAAAGUGAGAUUUUUCGUGGCAAAGUUAUCUCAGGGUAAACACCGCAUCCACAAAGUGCUGCUGACGCAUAUUCUUGGGGCAAACAGGAAAAUGUUAUUUCUGUUAAAAUAAUGUAGGUUGGGCCGGGCGCGGUGCUCACACUUGUAAUCCCAGCACUUUGGGCGGCUGAGGCUGGUGGAUCACUUGAGGUCAAGAGUU
This is a long non-coding RNA of Rhinopithecus roxellana (golden snub-nosed monkey), 1660 nucleotides long. RefSeq lists it as uncharacterized. The record is from RefSeq and is a predicted model, not a curated record. Lineage: Eukaryota; Metazoa; Chordata; Mammalia; Primates; Cercopithecidae. The transcript is spliced from 4 exons.